AACGAACGCUGGCGGCAGGCUUAACACAUGCAAGUCGAACGGGUGUAGCAAUACAUCAGUGGCAGACGGGUGAGUAACACGUGGGAACCUUCCUCGUUGUACGGGACAACUCAGGGAAACUUGAGCUAAUACCGUAUACGUCCGAGAGGAGAAAGAUUUAUCGCAAUGAGACGGGCCCGCGUCGGAUUAGCUAGUUGGUGGGGUAACGGCCUACCAAGGCGACGAUCCGUAGCUGAUCNGAGAGGAUGAUCAGCCACACUGGGACUGAGACACGGCCCAGACUCCUACGGGAGGCAGCAGUGGGGAAUCUUGGACAAUGGGCGCAAGCCUGAUCCAGCCAUGCCGCGUGAGUGAAGAAGGCCUUAGGGUU
This 370-nucleotide ribosomal RNA is filed under the name uncultured bacterium. RNAcentral describes it as "bacterial SSU rRNA". It matches the Rfam family "Bacterial small subunit ribosomal RNA", at positions 29 to 424 of the family's 1533-position model. The record is from RNAcentral.